UCUUCGAUAGCUCAGUUGGUAGAGGGAGGACUGUAGGUUGAUAAUUUGUAGGCAUCCUUGCGUUCGCUGGUUCAAUUCUGGCUUCGAAGGA
This 91-nucleotide transfer RNA is filed under the name Perca fluviatilis (European perch). RNAcentral describes it as "tRNA-Tyr". The record is from RNAcentral. Lineage: Eukaryota; Metazoa; Chordata; Actinopteri; Perciformes; Percidae.